Molecule: ribosomal RNA, 408 nt
Filed under: uncultured bacterium
Lineage: Bacteria
Description: bacterial SSU rRNA
Rfam family: Bacterial small subunit ribosomal RNA
Source: RNAcentral
UGGUCUUGACAUAGAAAGAACUUUCCAGAGAUGGAUUGGUGCCUGCUUGCAGGAGCUUUCAUACAGGUGCUGCACGGCUGUCGUCAGCUCGUGUCGUGAGAUGUUGGGUUAAGUCCCGCAACGAGCGCAACCCUCGUCGUUAGUUGCUAACAGUUCGGCUGAGAACUCUAACGAGACUGCCUACGCAAGUAGGAGGAAGGUGAGGACGACGUCAAGUCAUCAUGGCCCUUACGACCAGGGCUACACACGUGCUACAAUGGGGUAUACAAAGAGCAGCAAUACGGUGACGUGGAGCGAAUCUCAAAAAUGCCUCCCAGUUCGGAUUGUAGUCUGCAACUCGACUACAUGAAGUUGGAAUCGCUAGUAAUCGUAGAUCAGCUAUGCUACGGUGAAUACGUUCCCGGGUCU